GACGAACGCUGGCGGCGUGCUUAACACAUGCAAGUCGGACGGACAGGCCCUGCUUUUGUGGGGUGCUCGAGUGGCGAACGGGUGAGUAACACGUGAGUAACCUGCCCUUGACUUUGGGAUAACUUCAGGAAACUGGGGCUAAUACCGGAUAGGAGCUCCUGCUGCAUGGUGGGGGUUGGAAAGUUUCGGCGGUUGGGGAUGGACUCGCGGCUCAUCAGCUUGUUGGUGGGGUAGUGGCUUACAAAGGCUUCGACGGAUAGCCGGCCUGAGAGGGUGACCUGCAACAUUGAGACCGGGAUACGACCCAGACUCCUACCGGAGGCAGCAGUGGGGAAUAUUACACAAUGGGCGGAAGCCUGAUGCAGCAACGCCGCGUGCGGGAUGACGGCCUUCGGGUUGUAAACCGCUUUCGCCUGUGACGAAGCGUGAGUGACGGUAAUGGGUAAAGAAGCACCGGCUAACUACGUG
RNAcentral lists this ribosomal RNA (468 nucleotides) under uncultured bacterium. RNAcentral describes it as "partial 16S ribosomal RNA". It matches the Rfam family "Bacterial small subunit ribosomal RNA", at positions 28 to 507 of the family's 1533-position model. The record is from RNAcentral.